AUUGUUUUAGAGACAGGUCUCACUCUGUCAACCAGGCUGGAGUGCAGUGGCGUCAUCUUGGCUCACUGUAACCCCCGCCUCCCGGGUUCAAGCGAUUUUCAUCCCUCAGCCUCCUGAGUAGCUGGGAUCACAGGCAUGUGCCAUCAUACCUGGCUAAUUUUUCUAUUUUUAGUAGAGACGGAAUUUCAUCACAUUGGCCAUGCUGGUCUCCAACUCCCAACCUUGGGUGAUCUGCCUGCCUCAGCCUCCCAAAGUGCUGGGAUUAUAGGCAUGAGCCACCGAUCCCAGAAUAUUUUUUAUUUGGAAUUUUGUUUAUGUACCUCUGGAAUUUUUAUUUGUUUAUGUACCUAACCCUACUGGAACAUAAGUUUGAUGGCAGCAGAAAUGUUGUUUUGCUCAUUGCUAUAGUUUCCAUGCUUAGAGAUGCUCUGGUAGACAGAAAGUAGGCAAAAUAUACUUGCCAAAUGAAUGAAAAUGCCAAUUUCAGCAUGUAGCAUAAAAAAGGUGCUCAUGCAAUGCUAGUUUUCAUUUUACCUCCCUUCCACUUUUUUUUUGUCAUGGCUGAGAAAUUGUUAAAUUCUGUUGAAACUGAAGCUCUGAUUUCUUUCUGCUGCCUCCUGACACUGCUGGUGCCCCAUAUGUGUGAACCGGGGUGUGAGGUGAUGCCAUCCAUUUGUAGUCUGGGACAGACGGAAACUGAGUUUGGAGCCAGAAUGGAAAGCUCUGGUAUCUGCCUAAUUCUACCUGAAUGGGACAUUAAUUUCAAUGCUUUGUUCUUCUAAAUGAUUUUGAAUGUUCAGAUCAUCAGAUGCCUCCAUAAUCAAAAGAAAUCCUUUCAAGAAUAAAAUGUAAAUGGUUCUCAGAAGAUCACCUGCUUGGCAUGAGCUGUCUUGCUCUCUACUGUUAUACAUUUUUCCAAGUUGGCUGCACAUGCAAACUUACAGAUAAGUAUAAAACAAAAUUAGCAGCUCUCUUCUCCCCUGGCUACACACCCUGCAUUACACAGAUAGCAAAACCCACUGGCAGAGUGUUCCUCAGAGCUGAUCCACAUGGAUGGUUUUUGCUCCUAAUAUGACAAUAUGCUGGGACCUGUGGAUAUCUGUCUGGUUUUUGGUGGCCUCAAGGAAGAGCACAGUUAGCCUGUGUUCAGAGAAAGCCAAAGGGCUGGAGAGUUAAUGUCCCCAAAGCAUCCCCCAAAGUCCUGACGGAAAAGAAAGAUCAUACGUCAGAAAACAGUAUUUACACCUGGUCUGAAAUACCAAUAUCUGCUAGACCUCAUCGUUCAGUUCAGAGAUUCCUGUCAGCAGACACAAUCUCCUUCUAUCUACUAGUUCCUGCACAAAAGGCUCCCAAGGCCUCCUUCUGAGGACCACUGACACUUAACUCCAAUGAAGAAUGAAGAAUUAGAGUCAAUUUAUUACCAGCAAGUUUGAAAACAUCCCAAAGAAGUCUCUCUAAUUAAGACAAAACAAUAAAACAAUAUCAAUAAAACUUGCACUUCA
This is a long non-coding RNA of Pan troglodytes (chimpanzee), 1502 nucleotides long. RefSeq lists it as uncharacterized. The transcript is spliced from 3 exons. Lineage: Eukaryota; Metazoa; Chordata; Mammalia; Primates; Hominidae. The record is from RefSeq and is a predicted model, not a curated record.